UAUUUCAUGAGUGUGGAUUACAAGAACAGAUUACUUGAAUUAUUUUUACAAUUUUUUAAGAACCACUACCAUACUUAUGCAAGAGAAAACAUAUUAACCAACAGAAUAGUAAGCAAGUACCUACUCCUGUAAUGCAAAAAGAAAGUACCUACUCCUGUAAUGCAAACAGAAAACAAUUUUUAUGCAUACUCCACAUACUGUAACUCAAGGUUAACAAACUUUCUAAAAUUAGAGACAUCAAGACAAGUACAAAAAAAUGUGAUGCAAAGGUUU
Molecule: long non-coding RNA, 273 nt
Organism: Hydra vulgaris (swiftwater hydra)
Lineage: Eukaryota; Metazoa; Cnidaria; Hydrozoa; Anthoathecata; Hydridae
Source: RefSeq, a predicted model, not a curated record